This is a non-coding RNA of Acanthosepion pharaonis, 112 nucleotides long. The record is from the annotation of a GenBank genome assembly. NCBI's taxonomy places the organism in Eukaryota, Metazoa, Mollusca, Cephalopoda, Sepiida, Sepiidae.
UACGGCCAUAUUAUGUUGAAAUACAGGUUUUCGUAUGAUGACCGAAGUUAAGCAAUGUCGAGCCUGAUCAGUAACUAGGUGGGUGACCGCUUGGGAAUACCAGAUACUGUAA